GUGUCACAAUAGUAAUCCAACCUAGUAUGAGAGGAACCGUUGAUUCGCAUAAUUGGUCUUUGUGCUUAGUUGAAAAGCCAGUGGUGCGAAGCUACCGUGCGUUGGAUUAUGACUGAACACCUCUAUGUCAGAAUCCAGGCUAGAUACGAUGC
Molecule: non-coding RNA, 152 nt
Organism: Populus trichocarpa (black cottonwood)
Lineage: Eukaryota; Viridiplantae; Streptophyta; Magnoliopsida; Malpighiales; Salicaceae
Source: Rfam